AAAAACCAACCCCCCCAAACCCCAUUUCUUCCACCUUUUCCCUCAUUUCCCUUCCCCCCCCCAACAUCGAAGCCUCAAAACACACCCUCCUCACGCCGUGGCUACCUUUUUCCCACCGGUGGCCACCGGAGGUUCUUCGGCCAAUCUUUUGCGGCCGAAAAAUUUCGGAGGGGGGGGGACGACGACAACGACGACGGAUUUGGGGACCCCCCGGCACGAAUGUGGCUUCUGCGGCAAAUCCUUCGGGAGCGAAAGCGCUCGGCAAAUCCACCUCCGCUCCCACACCGGGGAGAGACCCUACAAGUGCAACGUCUGCGGCAACCGAUUCACCACCCGGGGCAACCUGAAAGUUCAUUUUCACCGCCACCGAGAAAAAUACCCCCACGUUCAGAUGAACCCCCACCCUGUCCCUCAACACCUGGAUUAUCUUCUCCUCCCGCCCCCGGUGACCACCCAAGGGUUGAGCGGGGCCACCAGACUCAACGCGGCUACUCAAAACCCAGCCGGGGCUACUCAAAAUCUGGCCGGAAACGCCCAAAAUCUCGGUGGAACCACUCAAAAUCUUGGUGGAACCACGCAAAACGUCACCGGGACCACUCAAAACGUCACCGGGACCACCCAAAACGUCAGCGGGACCACCCAGAACGUGGCCGGGGCAACCCAACAGCUCGCCGGGGCCACUCAACCUCUUGGUGCCACCAGCCAAGUCAACACGGCCACCCAACAACUCAACACAACCACCCAACAACUCAACGCGGCCACCCAACCGGUCAACGUGACCACCCAACACCUCAACGGGGCCAACCAAGUCAAUGGGGCCACCCAACAACUCAACGUGACCACUCAACAUCUCACCGGGACCACCCAACCAGUCAAUGCGGCCGCUAACCAAGUCAACGUGACCACCCAACAGGCCAACGUGGCCAACCAAGUCAACGCAACCACCCAACUCAACGUGGCCACCCAACAGGUCAACGUGGCCGCCGACCAACUCAACGUGGCCACCCACCAAGUCGAAGUGACCACCCAACAGGUCGACACGACCACCCAACUGGCCAACACGGCCACCAACCAAGUCAACGUGACCACCCAGCAGGUCAACGCGACCGCUCAACCUCUUCCUGGGGCCAACCGAGUCAAUGCAGCCACCAACCAGGCCAAUGUGGCCAGCAACCAAGUCAACGCGGCCACCCAACAUCUCAGCUCAACCAACCAAGUCAAUGUGGCCACCAACCAAGUCAACGUGGCCACCCACCAAGUCAACACGCCCACCCAACACCUCAACUCAACCAACCAAGUCAACGUGGCCACCAACCAAGUCAACGUGGCCACCCACCAAGUCAACGCUGCCACCAACCCCCUGACGGUGGCCACCCACCCCCUGACGGUGGCCACCCACCACCUGGGCGCCUUCCACAAGCUCCUCCUCUUGAAGGCCACUGAGGGAAGAUCUAAAGCUGGGGGAGGAGGUGACGAAAACACCCCCCCGGGUAAAACCUGGGCUUUUUUCGC
RNAcentral lists this long non-coding RNA (1512 nucleotides) under Calidris pugnax (ruff). Its description in RNAcentral is "lncRNA (ENSCPUG00000011422.1)". Lineage: Eukaryota; Metazoa; Chordata; Aves; Charadriiformes; Scolopacidae. The record is from RNAcentral.